This 1043-nucleotide long non-coding RNA is filed under the name Monodelphis domestica (gray short-tailed opossum). RNAcentral's name for it is "lncRNA (ENSMODG00000030419.2)". The record is from RNAcentral. Lineage: Eukaryota; Metazoa; Chordata; Mammalia; Didelphimorphia; Didelphidae.
CUCCAAAUAACUACUUACUAGAGAAAUGAAAACCAAAACAAUUCUGUGAUAUCACUUCAUACUGUUCAUAUUGACAAAUGUUCUAAAAUGACAAAAGGACCAAAUAACAAAUAUUGGAGGAGAUAGGCAAAAAAUGGGGACAUUAAUACCUGUUAGAUAAGAGAGGAGACAUUCCACAUUGAGGAGAGAACAGUCUCUGACAGAGACUAGCUGAAGAGAAAGUGGGGGAGGAGCAAGAAGAAAAAACAGAGAAUUCUAGGAGAGAAUCAGAAUCUUGAGUAUCCAAUGAGAACUUCACUUCCACCUGGGAACCCGAGGAGGGAGAUAGAUUCCCUAGGCUGAGAAAAAGCCUAUUUCUUGGGAGAUCUAUUGUCCCUUCUGAACCCCUGAAUACCUCCAAUCAAACUCUCUGUGACAGCAAUCUAAAGUCCUCAGCAGGAUUGUGGAUUGGGACUUUGAAGGUGCCUUGGUCAGUCUGGAGUAUAUAUAAAAAUAUCUUGAGGGAUUCUGAAACUUGCAAUGGAUAAACCUUCAUGGGUCUUCCAGGAAAAUGUUUUCAUUGGGGUCCCCUGAACACUCCAUAGAAGGAUCCCAGACCAGAAAGAGUACAUGACUUCUCUGAGUGUUGGACCUCAGGAAUGCACCCAAGAAGACCUUCCCUGAUAACGACUGAUAAACAGAUAAAGAUGCUGGCUUCCAAGUCAAUGUUCCUCGGAGAUGACCCAGUGAUAUCAGAGAGCAAGCCCACAGCCAUCAGACACGACACGUGGCUCAGUGACUCCUAUGUCCCACCUCUCCCAUGUGAUGGAUCAAGGUCUCCUAAAUAUUUCACUUCACACAAUCUCCCCCUCUCAUUCUUUGGGACACCAGCAUGUUAAGUCUCGCCACUCUUGGUUCUCCGGGAGAUAAAUAUGUUUGGUCUCCCAGAAUGAAUCAUUCUACAUAUGUGUCAAAAAAAGCAUAAAAGAUAUUAUAUAUUUCAUGGAGGGAGUUACUACAAUUUGGGCAAUAAAAAGAAAGAAGGAGUGAAAGAAAAGUGAUUG